This 1291-nucleotide long non-coding RNA is filed under the name Homo sapiens (human). RNAcentral's name for it is "non-protein coding lnc-FBXL6-2:1". Lineage: Eukaryota; Metazoa; Chordata; Mammalia; Primates; Hominidae. The record is from RNAcentral.
AAGUGGCCCCUCCUCCUCCCACAAGUGGCCCCUCCUCCUCCCACAUGGCUCCUCGUCCUCAUCUUCUUACAGUCCUCUUGCUCCUCCCACUGGGACUGAACCCAAAGGCAUCUCUUCAAUGGGGUGGUCCCUGCCUAGGGAAAGCCGGUGCCUCCAGCCCUUUAGUGCCCCUUCUGUUAUGGCGUGUCUCCUGUGAAGUCUCUGUCAUCCCCAAGGUCAAGUUUGCUGGGCUCAAUGAUUCUGUGUGCCCUGCAUCACUUUGCUAGCAGGACAGGGAUUGGCCUCCAGUCUUCAGUCCCUCAUCCCCAAAGCCCAGACUAGAACUUCACAGAUGGACCUGGGGCCCCUCCCGGAGCCGGGCUUUCUGGAGUGUUCUCAUUUGCUAACAUCUGCCUCCCUCGGCAACCUUUCCUCUGUAAUGGAACAGGUCCAGAAGAGCCAUGUGGGCUGACACAGUAAGGCCUCCAGGCAUCUGUGCCGUGACGUGAGCAAAGUGUGAGCUGCAUGGUGGGAUAUGCCAUGCCUUGCCUAGGGGCCCGGGCACUGCCAUCACAGGGAGGCUUGGCCACCAACCGACAUGGCUGCCCCAGGUGGGAAGGGUCGGAUGGAGGACUCUGCCACCCACUCUUGGGAAACACCCCCAAAAUGAACGAAGGAAUGACCUCUGUCCUGUUUUAGCAUCCCGGGAGACACACUGUGGCCUAGGAUCCUGCCCGGCUGCAGGGCUCUGGAUGGGGCGUGACAUCCUGCCCCCGAGGGUGUGGCGGGGAGUCGAUGUCACACAGCUGAGCCACAGGGCCCAGGGAUGUGGUGAAAGCUUUCCCCAGGUCCCAAGUGCCCACAGCCCCUGCCCCAUCCAAGACCCAGAAAUGCAGCUCACUCUAGCCCUUCAGUGCGGGCCCGCUCUCAAGCCUGUCCGUCACCUCCCAGAACUCCCACGUUCCCAAAACCCUGUGUUCCCAGUCUCUUUGGUCUCCAGAACUGUCAUUAAAGAAAGAAGGGGCUAGGCACAGUGGCUCGUCCUCCCAAAGUGUUGGGAUUACAGGCAUGAGCCACAACACCCAGCCUGAAUAAUGCUUUUAACCAGUUGAAUGUUGCCUUCUCUAAUACUACCUAUGACCUGCCCCUCCCCAAUACUGAGCCCAUAAAAGCCCUGGACUCAGCCACAUUGAGGGGACUUUCCUGCCUUUAAGUAGGGGGACCACCCCCAAAUCGCCUCUCUGUUGAAAACUGUUUUAUCACUCAAUAAACCCCCCACCUAUUGUAUCACUCAAUAAAAUCUCCACCCUCA